GGUUGAUCCUGCCGGACCUGACUGCUAUCGUAUUGGUACUAAGCCAUGCGAGUCAUUGUACAAUACAAGGCGGACGGCUCAGUAACACGUAGUCAACCUAACUCGUGGACGUGGAUAACCUCGGGAAACUGAGAAUAAACCACGAUAGAUCAUUAUGCCUGGAAUGGCUUAUGGUCCAAAUAGUUUACUGCCAUGAGAUGGGACUGCGGCCUAUCAGCUUGUUGGUGAGGUAAUGGCCCACCAAGGCUAUAACAGGUACGGGCUCUGAGAGGAGAAGCCCGGAGAUGGGUACUGAGACACGGACCCAGGCCCUAUGGGGCGCAGCAGGCGAGAAACCUUAGCAAUGUGCGAAAGCACGACUGGGUCAGUCCGAGUGAUUCCUGAUAAAGGAGUCUUUUGCUUGUCCUAAAAGCACAGGUGAAUAAGGGGUGGGCAAGUCUGGUGUCAGCCGCCGCGGUAAUACCAGCACCUCGAGUGGUCAGGACGUUUAUUGGGCCUAAAGCAUCCGUAGCCGGCUCUGCAAGUCUUCGGUUAAAUCCACCUGCUCAACAGAUGGGCCGCUGGAGAUACUACAGAGCUAGGGAGUGGGAGAGGCAGCCGGUAUUCAGCGGGUAAGGGUAAAAUCCUCUGAUUC
RNAcentral lists this ribosomal RNA (634 nucleotides) under uncultured archaeon. Its description in RNAcentral is "bacterial SSU rRNA". It matches the Rfam family "Archaeal small subunit ribosomal RNA", at positions 6 to 648 of the family's 1478-position model. The record is from RNAcentral.